This is a long non-coding RNA of Neofelis nebulosa (Clouded leopard), 1200 nucleotides long. RefSeq lists it as uncharacterized. The transcript is spliced from 5 exons. NCBI's taxonomy places the organism in Eukaryota, Metazoa, Chordata, Mammalia, Carnivora, Felidae. The record is from RefSeq and is a predicted model, not a curated record.
CCCGCCGCCGUAGCCGCCGCCGCCGCCGGAACUACCGGGAGUGAGGGUUAUGUUCGGUUAACUCUAACUUUGAAAAAUGGUCAGCAUUGGUGUUUUCCAGGUGAUGCCCCUUAUCAAGGCUCUGUGAUCUGGUGCUGGGACACUUUUGACUGACAAGGUGAAUGUCUUCUUUCAAUCCUGGAAGUGAUCACUGAAACCAUUUGAAUUUAACCUCCAAAGUCUCUGAAUGGGAAGCCAUAGGCCGAAUGGCCCUCUUCCUGCAAUUGGCCCUGUGUCUGGAUUAUUUCACCAAAGUUUGAUGUUAUACCAAGGACGGCUGAUUCAUACCAACAUAGGGCCGUAUCAUUGGCAAAAUGGAGACACCAGAUAGCAAAAUUGGCCCUAGAAGCGAUGAUCAAUUAGUCACAGAUGAAAAUGGAAACCAAUUAUUCUGGCCUGUCACGCUCUUAUGGAUGAACCAGCUGUUUUGAUGAGGAAAGAAUAAAGUCAUUAGGGGAAAAAAAAUGGUUGCAAACCUGAAACUGAGAAAUUCUAAAUCCAUCUUUCAAAGAUCAUCCUAAAACUUGUGCCUUCAUCAUAAAACAAUUCAUUGGUAAUUGGUUUUGAGUUGGUCUUCCAUUUUUUUCCUUGUAAGCCUAUUUGCCCAGUGUUACUCUGAUAUGCUCCAUAUUGAAACUUGAAAUGCAGUGUAUGUGUGGACACACAUACUGUAUACAGUUCGUAAAUGUGAACACACAUGUGUUCGCAACGUUCCGCUAUAAAGGAAAUGUCAGAUUUACAUAUUCCCUGAACUGGAAGAAUAAAAGGUUGAUGACAACUUUGUAUUUUCUUAAGUAUUGAGAAACAUACACAUUUAUUUAUUUAUUUAUUUAUUAGAAGUUUAUUUAUUUAUUUGAGAGAGCACAAGUUGCGGGGAGAGGUGCAGGGAGAGCAGGAGAGGGAGAGAAUGCCAAGCAGGCUCUACACCAUCAGCAGAACCCAACAUGGGGCUCGAACUCAUGAGCCAUGAGAUCAUGACCUGAGCCAAAACCAAGAGUCAGACACUUAACUGACUGAGCCACCCAGGCGCCCUGAGAAAGUUAUACGUUUGAAAAACAGACUCAGAAAAAGAAUUAAAGAACAUCUUUGUCUCGGUGUGGCUAUUAAAAAGCAACUAUUCAAAACCAUCCAACAUCACUUUUGCCUUUUUACUGCUCUGUG